AUACUUACCCGGCCGGGGAGGUACCGUGAUCACAAGGCCGUUUCCCCGGGCGAGGCUCACCCGCGCACUGUGGGUGCGCUGACCCCUGCGAUCCCCCGAAUACGGGAACCUCGGCUGUGUAAUUGGUGGUAGCGGGGGACUGCGUUUGCAUUCUCCCCUG
Small nuclear RNA from Pteronotus mesoamericanus, 160 nucleotides. RefSeq annotates it as U1 spliceosomal RNA. Lineage: Eukaryota; Metazoa; Chordata; Mammalia; Chiroptera; Mormoopidae. The transcript has a single exon. The record is from RefSeq and is a predicted model, not a curated record.